This 352-nucleotide unclassified non-coding RNA is filed under the name soil metagenome. RNAcentral's name for it is "partial contains 5.8S ribosomal RNA, internal transcribed spacer 2, and large subunit ribosomal RNA". The stretch from base 1 to 120 matches the Rfam family "5.8S ribosomal RNA", at positions 35 to 154 of the family's 154-position model. The record is from RNAcentral.
GAUGAAGAAUGCAGCGAAAUGCGAUAAGUAAUGUGAAUUGCAGAAUUCAGUGAAUCAUCGAAUCUUUGAACGCACAUUGCGCCCGCCAGUAUUCUGGCGGGCAUGCCUGUUCGAGCGUCAUUACAACCCUCAGGCCCCCGGGCCUGGCGUUGGGGAUCGGCGGAGCCCCCCGUGGGCACACGCCGUCCCCCAAAUACAGUGGCGGUCCCGCCGCAGCUUCCAUCGCGUAGUAGCUAACACCUCGCGACUGGAGAGCGGCGCGGCCACGCCGUAAAACACCCAACUCUUCUGAAGUUGACCUCGAAUCAGGUAGGAAUACCCGCUGAACUUAAGCAUAUCAAUAAGCGGAGGA